Molecule: long non-coding RNA, 3620 nt
Filed under: Sus scrofa (pig)
Lineage: Eukaryota; Metazoa; Chordata; Mammalia; Artiodactyla; Suidae
Description: lncRNA (ENSSSCG00040011213.1)
Source: RNAcentral
GGGAGUUCCCAUCUUUGGGCUUCAGCUUUUUCUGAAGGCGCAGGUUGGGUGGUGCAGAGGUGACGGAGGUGGAAGAGGGGCUGAGUAGCAGAGGGAGCCAAGCAGUGAGAUGCAGUAGGAUCGCUGGACAGUCUUGAGGGCUGGUUUGUAGCUGGUGCUACCUAGUCUGCCUUUCUAACAAGCCAGUCUUAUUUGUUUAAUUACCCUGUGGCCUGUGGUCUAGCAGGAGGUAAUGUGCUGAAUGCUUUUUCUUUAGAUAAAUGUUAAUUUUCUAGGGAAGUCCUAAAUUCACACCCUUUUUCCUCCGUGAGUUCCAGGGUUGGUUUGAGCCACCUGGAAGCAAGCUCGGAGGGAUGGGGCAGUUUUGUUGCGGCUGAGACUUUUUUUCGGUCUGAGAAGCCCUCCUCUCCCUUCCUGGCAGGGAAAUGCAGGAAGGAAGCAUCAAGAAACUAUUGAGAUUGGCUGGUCAGUCAGCUUUAAGGUGUGGCUUUUUACAGUUUUUUCCAAACAAGUUCUUAGGGCCCCCAGACACCCAUAGUAUAAAAUGUGAACACACGUCCUUUCUGUGGGCAGAUAUGUUACUUUGGAUGCUCCAUAUCUUUAGUGCAGUCUAUUCCCAGUGGAUUUGAUGGUAAUAUUGACAUCAGCUGUGGUGUUUGUCAAAAGCCCUGUGUUGUCACCUCUCUCAUUCCCCCUCGCUGACCGUAAAGGCGAGGUUGGGAGCAUGGGGUGUUGUUGCUUUCUAGUCCCAGGACCCGCCCCCCACCAUGGAGUUGGCCGUGGCUGUCCUGAAGGACCUACUCCGCUAUGCGGCCCAGCUUCCUACACUCUUCCGGGACAUCUCCAUGAACCACCUCCCUGGCCUUCUCACCUCCCUGCUGGGCCUCAGACCGGAGCCUCUUCCUUACUUUGUUUUUCCCACAGUGUGAACUCUCUGCACUGGAAGGAAUGAAGGCUUGUAUGACGUAUUUUCCCCGGGCGUGUGGAUCUCUCAAAGUAAGUAUUCAUGGAAGCUCCUCUCCCGCCCAGCAUAAACCUUGGUAGCUGUCUCACCUCAGAUUCCGAUGCUGAGGUUUUAGGUACCUGUCUUCUGAUUAUUGUCACCUAUCUCCACAGCUGUAAUUAUGCCACCUCGUGGCCUUAAAUGCAUUCUCACUUAAUUGUCAUAGAUACAUUGAAAUUAAGUAACUUGCUUAAGGUCUGAUGCCAAAGCCAGGCUCUUACCCCUGGAUGCCUUCCUUUUUCUGCCCUGCCUUCUCUGUACCUCUAGAAUGCCUGCCCAUUUUUUAUUUUGUUUUAUUUUGUUCCUAAAGCUCUUGUAAUUUCCUCCGGGAAGGCUUCCUGAUUUACUUCUUCCCUAGAUCAACUUCUCCAGCACUUUCUGCGCCUUAUAUUCCUAAUUUCCCUCCAUGACUUCCCUACCCUGUCCCCCGAAUUGUCAUGAUCAAUACAGAGGUGGCUGUGCAGCAGGGCCUUAGCAGGUCAGAGAGGCAGGGUGGAGAUGGGUCAGGUGUGGGAGGAGGGAGGUCAGUGAGAAAAUCUGAGUUUUGUUUUCAAGGAGAUUCACAAAAAAAUGAACUUUUAACAAAUUCUGCCAAAACAGGGCCUUUGAAAUUGCACAUUUGUUUGCAGAAUAAUUUGAUGCCAACUAGUACCUAAGAACAAACAGGUGUUCUGUCGAUUAAAUGCUCUCUCUUGUUAUGAUACAUUCAUUGUUGCUUGAAAAACCAAUGGGCAUCCUCUUACUCAGAUGGAUGCACAAAUCUGUGGAGAAUUGUAAUUAGUGGCAAAUUAGCAUUUUUUUUUUUUUUUUUUUUUUUUUGUAUAACUGAUGUGGUUAAUCAUAGUAAUUAUUACCAACUAAUGAGUUUGCCAUUCAGGUUGCCUUGAAAGUAAGAUCACAUGGUUCUGUGACCAAGUCAGAAAAAGUAAAAGUGGAAAGGGAACUGGUCCUAAGUCGGUACCUGCUGUGUGUGAGGCACUCUGCCGAGGAUCUAAGACGGGUUGUCUUAUUUUGUCGUCACAGUAGUUCUGUGGAAUCGGUGUCACCAAAGUAAAUAAGGAGAGACAGGUCUAGGAGGUUUUUUUGCUUGUUUGUCUUUUAAACAUAUACAUUCUUUUUUAUAUUCUUUUCCAUCAUGAUCUAUCCUAGGAGAUUGGCUGUAGUUCCCUGUGCUAUACAGUAGGACCCUGUUGUUUAUUCUUUAUAAACGUAAUUGCCUCUACUAACCCCAAACUCCCAGUCUACUCCCUCCCUCUCGCUUGGCAACCACAAGUCUGUUGUUUAUGUCUGUGAGUCUGUUUCUGUUUUGUAGAUAGGUUCAUUUGGGUCCUAUUUUAGAUUCCCAUAUGGUAUUUAUCUUUCUCUUUCUGACUUACUUCACUUAGUAUGAUAAUCUCCAGUUGCAUCCAUGUUGCUGCAAAUGGCAUUGAUUUGUUCUUUUUUUAUGGCUGAAUAGUAUUCCAUUGUAUAGGUGUACCACAUCUUCUUAAUCCAUUCAUCUGCAGAUGGACAUUUAGGUUGUUUCUGUGUCUUGGCUAUUGUGAAUAAUGCUGCUAUGAACAUUGGGGUUCACGUAUCUUUUUGAAUUAUAGUUUUAUCCAGAUAUAUGCCCAGGAGUGGGAUGGCUGGAUCAUAUGGUAGUUCUAUAUUUAGUUUUCUGAGGAACCUCCAUACUGUUUUACAUAGCGGUUGUACCAGUUUACAUUCCCACCAACAGUGUAGGAGGGUUCCCUUUUCUCCACACCCUCUGUAGCAUGUUAUUUGUAUAUUGAUUUAUUAAUGAUGGCCAUUCUGACUGGUGUGAGAUGAUAUCUCAUUGUAGUUUUGAUUUGCAUUUCUCUGAUAAUUAGUGGUGAUGGGUAUUUUUCAUGUUCCUACUGGCCUGUCCGGAUGUCUUUGGAGAAAUGUCUGUUUAGGUCUUGAGCCCAUUUGUCAAUUGGGUUGUUUUUUUGUUGAGUUAUAUGUAUUUUGGAGAUUAAACCCUUGUCCGUUGCAUCAUUUGCAACUAUUUUCUCCCAUUCCAUAGGUUGUCUUUUUGUUUUGUUUAUAAUUUCCUUUGUUGUGCAAAAGCUUGUAAGUUUGAUUAGGUCCCAUUGGUUUAUUUUUGCUUUUAUUUCUGUUGCCUUGGGAGACUGACCUAAGAAAAGCUUGUAUGGUUUAUGUCAGAGAAUGCUUUGCCUGUGUUCUCUUAUAGGAGUUUGAUGGUGCCAUGUCUUCUGUUUAAGUCUUUAAGCCAUUUUGAGUUUAUUUUUGUGCAUGCUGUGAAGGGUGUGGUCUAAUUUCAUUGAUUUACAUGCAGCUGUCCAGUUUUCCCAGCACCACUUGCUGAAAAGACUGUGUUUUUUUCCCAUUUUAUAUUCUUACCUCCUUUGUUAAAGAUUAACUGACCAUAGGGGUCUGGGUUUAUUUCUGGGUUCUCUAUUCUGUUCCAUUGGUCUGUAUGUCUGUUUUUGUACCAGUACCACACUGUCUUGAUUACUGUAGCUUUGUAAUGUUGCCUGAAGUCUGGGAGAGUCAUGCCUCCUGCUUAGUUUUUGGUCCUCAGGAUGGCUUUGGCAAUUCUGGGUCCUUUAUGGUUCCAAAUAAAUUUUUGGAUUGUUUAUUCUAGUUCUGAGAA